Molecule: ribosomal RNA, 252 nt
Filed under: uncultured bacterium
Lineage: Bacteria
Description: partial 16S ribosomal RNA
Rfam family: Bacterial small subunit ribosomal RNA
Source: RNAcentral
UACGUAGGUCCCGAGCGUUGUCCGGAUUUAUUGGGCGUAAAGCGAGCGCAGGUGGUUUAUUAAGUCUGGUGUAAAAGGCAGUGGCUCAACCAUUGUAUGCAUUGGAAACUGGUAGACUUGAGUGCAGGAGAGGAGAGUGGAAUUCCAUGUGUAGCGGUGAAAUGCGUAGAUAUAUGGAGGAACACCGGUGGCGAAAGCGGCUCUCUGGCAUGUAACUGACACUGAGGCUCGAAAGCGUGGGGAGCAAACAGG